CCCCUCCACCCCCACUACCCCGUUACUGCCCCUUACACAGCCACUCCAACCCCCACCCUGUCACAGCCCCUCAAGCCCCCACACAAUGUCUUUACCACAAUUACCCUAUCACAUUAACCCCCCUCAAUCCUGUCAGACUCACCUUCUCUUGCACUGUCGCACACAGUCCCCAACCCAGUCACACUCAUCCUCUAUCAGUCUGUUCCACUCACACCAUUCACACUGUCACACUCACCCUACCACAUAAGCCCCUCCAAACCUGUCCUCCAGCUGUGCCAAACUCACCCCAAAACCUGUAACACUCUCCCCCCAACCCUGCCGCACUCACCCUUCCACAUUUAUCUAAUCCUGCCACAUUAACCCACUUAAUCUUGUCACACUCACCAAAAAAGCCGCCCCCAAACGCCCAGGCAGAUGCUUUGUUUUCUUCAUGUCCUGGUGGGCUCGAGCUGUUCAUCUGGCAACUUUUGAGGCCCCCCAAGGCUGGCCGAAGUUUCUAUCGCGACGCUUAAUGAAGCUGGGAGCUGGAAUAUGACGUCACUCCGGCACCCGGCAUCACUAAGCGGCGCGUGAGGGAGCUGAGCAAGAAUAUUAGAGCUCCCUCGCCGCCUACUCUGCCUGUCCGCCCCCUGUCUGCACAUGAAGCAGUCCCACUGGACUGCAAGUAAGUAAUCCACUCCAUCUCUCCCAGGGAGGUUGGGUGGAUUUAAAUAAAAAUAAUAAUAAUUUGUGAGUGUUGAGGGAAAUGUAUGUCUGAGUGAAUGUGUGUGUGUCUGUAAGUGUUUAUACCUGUGAGUGAGUUAAUGUGUCUGUAAGUGAAUGUGUGUGUGUGUGUGUGUGUGUGUCUGUCAGUGUGUCAAAUCAUUGGGUGUUUAUGUCAUUGUUUGUCAGUGUAUAUGAGAGUGUGUCUGUCAAUGAGUGUAUGUGUCUGUUAUUACGUGUGUGCGUCUGAGUAAUAGUGUGUGUCUGUCAGUGUGUCAAAUCAGUGAGUGUGUGUGUAUGUCAUUGUCAGUGUAUAUGAGAGUGUGUGUGCCUGUCUGUCAGUGAAAGUAUGUGUUGGUUAAACAGUAUGUGUGCCAAUGACUGUGUAUCUUUUAGUGAGUGUAUGUCUGUGAAUGCAUUAGUAAGAAAGUGUCUGUCAAUCAAAGUACAGCCUUGACAGGAAGGGAUGGGGAAAUUUUAAAUAUGGGGGUGGGGGAGAAUCCAAAAUACACCACUGGUUAUGGUGCUGAUAAGAUUGCUAUCAACAGUGGAGUGCAUGCCCGUCAUCUAUACAAAGUAGCCUUUCUGGCAUCCUAGUGUAAACUUAAUUGAACUUUAUUAUUCUUUCUAGGUUCAGGAUUUCAUAUCUAUGCAGUUUCUACAGUUUCCCUCUUUUUUUUUUUUCUUAUAUAAUACCAGAGAUAUGCCAGGUAGUAAAUUGGACUAAAAAUACUUUGCUAUGCUACCACAAAAAUGGGUAUGGCACUAUUGACUCAACUAUUUUAUGUUUAUUUUUCCAGUACUAGCAGAACAUCAUUCAUCUAUAUAUGUUUAUGUGUGACUAAUAGAAAAAAAAAGCAUUACAUAACUAUUUCAAAUACCAUUACCACUAAAGCCUACUGAAGUGGCUAUGGUGCCAGGAGUGCGCUGGCACCCUUUCCCAUUGCAAAGAGUUUAUACUGUUUUUGAGUGGGAGCUGUAGUGGUUAUGGUGCUGUGAGUGUUGAUUUCUUAGGAAGAUGAUCUCAAACUUUAUGACUAAGACCAUACUCUGCUCAAAAAUAAUACGUGAUGUGAGAAGAACAUUCAUUUUACCAACGAGCUUGUGUCUAGCCUUAGGUGUACUGAUUAGAGCACCCAUUAGAUACAGGGUUAUUCACUAAUGUGAGAAUUCAAGGUGAAUUCAAAUUGAAUUUAAAAUUUAAGGUGAAAAUAGCUAAACUGGAAAAACUCUCUAAAUCAGUUAUGCAUUCAGUUCAUCUACUCUGGUCUUAAAUUAAAAAUUCACUUUCGAUUUCCACAUUAGUAAAUAACCCUGUUAGUGCGUGUCAGCUGCUGAAGCCACGAGGUUACAUAUUAUUUAUUGUGAACCUGUUUAAGUUGCAUUUGCAAUCGGCAGCAGAUAGAAUUAUGACAUUUUCUGUUACCUCCUCCUCCAGUUUUGCAGCCUCUGUAAAUGUGUGUCUGCAUCUGUAAACCCCCAAAUGGUUUUUCUUUUGGCGGCAUUUCACCAUGACAAAUAGAAAGCCACAUGUAAAGCAGUGUGGGAUGUAGCAUUCAAGCCAUUAUAGAAAGGCAGACAUGAGUUUUAAAUGUCAGGCCAAGUUAUCGAAACUCAUUAAUAUCACUGCUAGCCAUUAAUCCCCCCCCAUUAACAAUGUGGGCGAGAUUAGGGGUUAUAUAGUAUGGUUAGGGUUUUGUAAGAUGUAAUGGGCAGUAAUUCAUAUGGAUGUCGGCGGGGGAGGAGAGGUCACCAGCGCCGAGGGAGCCCGGCGCUGGAUUAAGGUAAGUAACUGAAGGGGUUUUAACCCCUUCAGUGCCACGGGAGGGGGACCCUGAGGGUGGGGGCACCCUCAGGGCACUAUAGUGUCAGGAAAACCGAUUUGUUUUCCUGACACUAUAGUGAUCCUUUAAAUUAUGUCCAAUCCCCAGUCAGUCACAUGGGUCCUUACCAAAAAAAAAGUGUGUCCACUCUUCCAGACAUGUAGCAGAGUGGAUGUUGGUAAAAUGGAAUUAACAUGAUGACAUUUCAUUUAUAUCUCACUCUAAGAUUGUCAGGGAUUUUUAUUUACAGUGUGAUGACAGUGAAGCUUUUAAUUACCAGCAAAUUAUGAACACCAAUGAAAAUAAAAAAGAAAACCCCUACAAACUAACAGAAAUGUGUCAGGUGCACCACAUGCAAAUUACGUUCUAGUACUUUAUUCCAGCUUUAUCAUCAACUGGGAAUUCAUUUUCAUACAUGGCGUUUGCUUGCUUCCGUAUUCUGCUAAAAAUCUCACUAACCAGUUCUUAAAGUGUUAUAGAACCUACGCUAAAACAACUGCAUUAUAGUCUUCAAUUCCAUCUGGAAGGCAGUGAUACUAAAGUACAAUUAUAGGUGGAUAUUCAGUAAAGUGAGAAUUCAAAGUUAGCAAUGCUUGCAGUUCGGCUGCUCUGGCCUUCAAAUUUACUGUUUACUUGUAAUUCUCAAUUUAGGAAGUAACCCUGUUUGUCAUCGCUGUAUUUAGUACGAGGCUGACAAGGCAUUUGCUUUGGGUGGCACUUUGAGGGAAGUGUCAAGAAAGGCCUCUCCCAAAACACCCUGGCAGAUGCCUUCUCAGCCUCUUGUCGUGGGGGCCCAAGAGGUGGCCGUCUGUCCACCUUGGGUCCUCCCGAGCAGGGCCGGACUGGGAAGGAAAUUCGGCCCGGGCAUUUUUUAAUUACAGCGGCCCACUAAAAAGGGGGCAGGGCCAGAUAGGGUGUGUUUUGUCAUCACCAAUGACAAGCAUGCCCCAUCACAAAGUGAGCAUGUUGGUUCAAUGCUCUUCCAGGGUAGACCAUGCGCAGAGCUCUGCUGAAGAUCUCUGGCAUGAGAAAAAUACCCUGUAUUUGUUCUGCACAGCGCAAGCAAAUUUAAUAACAUGCUUGCACUGUGUUUGCUUGAAAUUUGUCUCUGGUGUCUCCAUAGUUGGGAUACCAGGAGACAAAAAUGCCAGGAAAGCAUAUUGCACAGUGUGUGUGAGGGUGCUCUGUGUGUGUGUGAGAGGGGUGCAGUGUGUGUGAUGGGUGCUGUGUUUGCAUGAGGGUGCUAUGUGGGUAAGGGUGCAGUGUGUGUGAUGCAUGCAGUGUGGGUGCUGUGUGUGUGAGGGUGCAGUGUAUGCAUGUGAGGAAGCUGUGAAUGUCAGGGGUGCAGUGUGUGUGAGUGAGGGUGCUGUGAGUGUCAGGGGUGCAGUGUGUGUGUGAUGUGCGUGUCGGGUGCAGUGUGUGUGUGUGAGGGUGCUGUGAGUGUUAGGGGUGCAUUGUGUGUGUGCUGUGAGUGUGUGAGGGUGCUGUGAGUGUCAGGGGUGCAGUGUGUGAGGGUGCUGUGAGUGUCAGGGGUGCAGUGUGUGUGUGCUGUGAGUGUCAGGGGUGCAGUGU
Molecule: non-coding RNA, 4097 nt
Organism: Pelobates cultripes (western spadefoot toad)
Lineage: Eukaryota; Metazoa; Chordata; Amphibia; Anura; Pelobatidae
Source: the annotation of a GenBank genome assembly